GUCACUCUGGAGAAUCUCAUUUUUGUGUGAGUACCGAAGGUGCAAAGCGGCCUGUACGCCGCCGAAACUCUCAGGUCAAAGGACAGGGU
RNAcentral lists this non-coding RNA (89 nucleotides) under bovine gut metagenome. Its description in RNAcentral is "Glycine riboswitch". It matches the Rfam family "Glycine riboswitch aptamer", at positions 8 to 87 of the family's 94-position model. Rfam says of the family: This family represents the bacterial glycine riboswitch. The record is from RNAcentral.